UGGGGAAUAUUGCACAAUGGGCGCAAGCCUGAUGCAGCCAUGCCGCGUGUAUGAAGAAGGCCUUCGGGUUGUAAAGUACUUUCAGUCGGGAGGAAGGUGUCAAGGUUAAUAACCUCAUCGAUUGACGUUACCCGCAGAAGAAGCACCGGCUAACUCCGUGCCAGCAGCCGCGGUAAUACGGAGGGUGCAAGCGUUAAUCGGAAUUACUGGGCGUAAAGCGCACGCAGGCGGUCUGUCAAGUCGGAUGUGAAAUCCCCGGGCUCAACCUGGGAACUGCAUUCGAAACUGGCAGGCUAGAGUCUUGUAGAGGGGGGUAGAAUUCCAGGUGUAGCGGUGAAAUGCGUAGAGAUCUGGAGGAAUACCGGUGGCGAAGGCGGCCCCCUGGACAAAGACUGACGCUCAGGUGCGAAAGCGUGGGGAGCAAACAGG
This 429-nucleotide ribosomal RNA is filed under the name Chloroflexota bacterium. RNAcentral describes it as "Chloroflexi bacterium partial 16S ribosomal RNA". It matches the Rfam family "Bacterial small subunit ribosomal RNA", at positions 355 to 776 of the family's 1533-position model. Lineage: Bacteria; Bacillati; Chloroflexota. The record is from RNAcentral.